GACGAUGUAGCUCAGUGGUAGAUAGAGCAUGUGCUUAGCGUGCACGAGGUCCUGGGUUCAAUCCUUAGUACCGCCG
Molecule: transfer RNA, 76 nt
Filed under: Camelus ferus (Wild Bactrian camel)
Lineage: Eukaryota; Metazoa; Chordata; Mammalia; Artiodactyla; Camelidae
Rfam family: tRNA
About the family: Transfer RNA (tRNA) molecules are approximately 80 nucleotides in length. Their secondary structure includes four short double-helical elements and three loops (D, anti-codon, and T loops).
Source: Rfam by way of RNAcentral